Molecule: ribosomal RNA, 619 nt
Filed under: uncultured bacterium
Lineage: Bacteria
Description: bacterial SSU rRNA
Rfam family: Bacterial small subunit ribosomal RNA
Source: RNAcentral
CCUACGGGAGGCAGCAGUGGGGAAUUUUGGACAAUGGGCGAAAGCCUGAUCCAGCAAUGCCGCGUGCAGGAAGAAGGCCUUCGGGUUGUAAACUGCUUUUGUACGGAACGAAACGGUCUGCUUUAAUACAGUGGGCUAAUGACGGUACCGUAAGAAUAAGCACCGGCUAACUACGUGCCAGCAGCCGCGGUAAUACGUAGGGUGCGAGCGUUAAUCGGAAUUACUGGGCGUAAAGCGUGCGCAGGCGGUUAUAUAAGACAGUUGUGAAAUCCCCGGGCUCAACCUGGGAAUUGCAUCUGUGACUGUAUAGCUAGAGUACGGUAGAGGGGGAUGGAAUUCCGCGUGUAGCAGUGAAAUGCGUAGAUAUGCGGAGGAACACCGAUGGCGAAGGCAAUCCCCUGGACCUGUACUGACGCUCAUGCACGAAAGCGUGGGGAGCAAACAGGAUUAGAUACCCUGGUAGUCCACGCCCUAAACGAUGUCAACUGGUUGUUGGGUGCAUUAGUACUCAGUAACGAAGCUAACGCGUGAAGUUGACCGCCUGGGGAGUACGGCCGCAAGGUUUGAAACUCAAANAGAGUGACGCGUGAGAGUAGCGAGACGACGACGAGGGAGGAGG